RNAcentral lists this long non-coding RNA (221 nucleotides) under Elaeis guineensis (African oil palm). Its description in RNAcentral is "long non-coding RNA (EGUI_LNC063218)". Lineage: Eukaryota; Viridiplantae; Streptophyta; Magnoliopsida; Arecales; Arecaceae. The record is from RNAcentral.
CGGCUAUGGUGUGCUGUUUGAAAUUUUUUCAACAAACAGUCCCACUAUUUAGGAUAAAGAUGUAUUCUAAUAUACUUUUAUUAUCAUCAUGAUCUGAUUGAAAAUUGAAAUCAAUAUAUCCCACGAGUUUCAAGUCAGAUUCCUUAUAAACAAGCCACUAGUCCUUAGUAUUUCUCAAAUACUUAAGGAUUGUUUUUGUAACCUUUCAAUAGUUCUCACCC